Molecule: ribosomal RNA, 508 nt
Filed under: uncultured bacterium
Lineage: Bacteria
Description: partial 16S ribosomal RNA
Rfam family: Bacterial small subunit ribosomal RNA (bases 20-329)
Source: RNAcentral
GACGAACGCUGGCGGCGUGCUUAACACAUGCAAGUCGAACGGAAAGGCCCUGCUUUUGUGGGGUGCUCGAGUGGCGAACGGGUGAGUAACACGUGAGUAACCUGCCCUUGACUUUGGGAUAACUUCAGGAAACUGGGGCUAAUACCGGAUAGGAGCUCCUGCUGCAUGGUGGGGGUUGGAAAGUUUCGGCGGUUGGGGAUGGACUCGCGGCUUAUCAGCUUGUUGGUGGGGUAGUGGCUUACCAAGGCUUUGACGGGUAGCCGGCCUGAGAGGGUGACCGGACAAGUGUGGGCGGGGAUAACGGUAGGGCGACGGAGGGAGGCAGGAGGGGGAGGAAGAGAGGGGCGGGAGGAGACGUGUGGAAACAACGGCGGGGGCGGAGUGCGGGCAGUGGGGUUGUAAACGGAUAUGGACGGUGAGGAAGGGGGAGUGCAGGUAAGGGAUAAAGAAGCACCGGCUAACGAGGUGCAGGGAGACGGGGAAAUAGGGGCAAAGAACACGGCGUAAC